Molecule: long non-coding RNA, 988 nt
Organism: Daphnia magna
Lineage: Eukaryota; Metazoa; Arthropoda; Branchiopoda; Diplostraca; Daphniidae
Exons: 6
Source: RefSeq, a predicted model, not a curated record
UUACUGUUAAUAAAUAUACAUCAGAUAUUCAGAUUUGUAUAAUAUAACUUCAACAACUUACAAUUUUAUAGGUACAACCAUAACUGUUCCUGUAUCCCAGCAAGCAUAUCUUUUGGUUACAGUUUACUGAGAGGAUAUCACUAUCACUUGAUGCUACCCCAAAACAAGCAAUCAUUUCCAGCAUAGAAAAGCACAGUAUACCAGCCACAGUGUAAUGAUGCCAACUGAGUCAUGUUUGCAACAUCCAUGCUUUGUUGUUGCAUUUUCUUUAUUGAAGACUAUAGUUUGACAGAUUUGUUCUAUCGCUAUGACAUCCCACGCUUGGAUUCAAGGAAUUCUAGACCAAUCACAGAAAAUACAUCAAAUAAUACAAUUAUUUGAAACCUUUGACCAUGGCAACAGAAUCACCCAGAACUGGUUUGGUCAGUCUGGGGAUUAGUGAAGUUCAUUCCGGCCAAGACCCAACAAUGAAGCCCAAAGAACGAGACAAAUUUGAGAAACUAGCAAUCAAGACAAAGAAAGUAGUUUACAAGUUUGGAAUUCUAAAAAUAUUGAUCCUUGUUUGUAAGUUUCCAAUGAUAAUCUAGACCUAAGGGAGGGCAUUGAAUCAGCCUCUGGAUACAUGUCAGAGCUCAGUUAUUCCUAAGUGGUUUCAACUUGCUGCUGGGCAAAAGUUUGUAAGCUGUAGACUGUGGAAUGUUGACCUGCAGUUAAUAAUCCAUCCGACAAAGCUUAAAAUUGGUUAAAAUCAUCUAACCAAUAUGAAGAACUUAAGAAAGAAAAUAUUCUAGGUGAAACAACAAAAGAUUUCCACACUCAAUUAUCUCAAUGUGUUUUUUUUCUCAACAUUUGGUUAACCUGAACGGGAAUUCGAAUUUCGGUAAACUAAGAUAAAAUUUCCCUAUCUUGGGAGUUUUAACUAGCAAUAUAGAAAAUUGGAUACGAUACCGAAGCUGACGUCAUGAUAAAGAGAAAAUGUUAAAAAGCA